Ornithodoros turicata is the source of this 1080-nucleotide long non-coding RNA. RefSeq lists it as uncharacterized. Lineage: Eukaryota; Metazoa; Arthropoda; Arachnida; Ixodida; Argasidae. The transcript is spliced from 3 exons. The record is from RefSeq and is a predicted model, not a curated record.
GAUCGUAGCCAGCAGAGAUCAUGGACAGAUACAAAGAGAGGGCCAGCCAGGGGGCGCCAUCCAUGGCUAACGCAACGGGAUUUAUUACGGAAGUGCACGUACAACUUUUGUACUCAUUUGGUCCAUGCUUUUUUUUUUUUUUUCCUUCAAAAAGCAGUGUAAUAUCGUUGCUGCAACUCUUCCAAGUGGUUUUGCGUUGAACAAGGAAUAUUGUCAUGAGAGUCGAACAGGAAGGUGCACGUCAAAAUUGCACUACUCGAUGUCUCCUGAUGAUCUAAUUUUUGUUUCACAAUGCGUUUACUGUGCUGGUAUGUGCUUGUGAAAAUAUGAGUGGUAAUAUGCUUCAGUAGUUUUGGCUUGGUACGCAAACCUGUGACUUCUGUGACUGUGACUUCUCUACAGUUGAAGGCAUGAGUAUACUUGUGGUGUACCUGAGGUUGCUGUAGCAUUUGGCAUCACUUCUGCUUACGUGUGUAUGGACCUUGUUUCAGCGGCAAAUUUGUUGUGUGUCCUAGCAGUAUGACAUUUAAUUGCCUAAGGUACAGGUACAACCCCCCCCCCCCCCCCUCCAUCUGCUGAAACGGUUAACUACAGUGACUGUACGGUUAACAAUUCGAAGGGCAGAAGAGAAGCACAAGUGCGCGAAUAUCUGAGGCUUUGUUUUAAAAUCCCGCUGUGCAAAUCAAAUAUCACCAUGUCUUGACAGUACACGCCAAGCACUAUGUGUGAAUGCUGAGCAACUGUACAAGGUCACAGUCGUAUCAGUGGAUAUCAUGUUCUUAUGUUGGGGUGACACCUAACAGAAUGCACAGGAGAACAACACUUCGUCCUCUCGCAGUCACAGUGUGAAUGUUUGGACCAAGUGCAGGUUCUGAGACUGAGGACACGUGCAACACAGUGUGAAUGACCAAGAGAAACGUACAUAAGUACCUAGAAGGGAGUGCAAGUUACUGUGUGACAUUCUGCCAGUGGCCUCCAGAGACAUAUGCACAGGAAGACCCGAAACGGAAAAUGCCGCUUCCUCCGACGACUCCCAAACGUGUACUGACCCGAGACAAACGCACCAGUGCAGGUUCUGUC